RNAcentral lists this ribosomal RNA (325 nucleotides) under uncultured soil bacterium. RNAcentral describes it as "bacterial SSU rRNA". It matches the Rfam family "Bacterial small subunit ribosomal RNA", at positions 26 to 355 of the family's 1533-position model. The record is from RNAcentral.
AGAUUGAACGCUGGCGGCAUGCUUUACACAUGCAAGUCGAACGGUAACAGGCCGCAAGGUGCUGACGAGUGGCGAACGGGUGAGUAAUGUAUCGGAACGUGCCCAGUCGUGGGGGAUAACGCAGCGAAAGCUGCGCUAAUACCGCAUACGAUCUAUGGAUGAAAGCGGGGGACCGUAAGGCCUCGCGCGAUUGGAGCGGCCGAUAUCAGAUUAGGUAGUUGGUGGGGUAAAGGCUCACCAAGCCAACGAUCUGUAGCUGGUCUGAGAGGACGACCAGCUACACUGGGACUGAGACACGGCCCAGACCUCCUACGGGAGCAGCAGU